Molecule: non-coding RNA, 66 nt
Organism: Vibrio parahaemolyticus
Lineage: Bacteria; Pseudomonadati; Pseudomonadota; Gammaproteobacteria; Vibrionales; Vibrionaceae
Source: Rfam
GCUCUUUAGCUUAGGACGAAUUUCGUCUAGUCGGGUGAUUAGCCAGACUCUAACUUAUUGAACGGG